RNAcentral lists this ribosomal RNA (58 nucleotides) under Alternaria tenuissima. Its description in RNAcentral is "partial 28S ribosomal RNA". It matches the Rfam family "Eukaryotic large subunit ribosomal RNA", at positions 1 to 57 of the family's 3401-position model. Lineage: Eukaryota; Fungi; Ascomycota; Dothideomycetes; Pleosporales; Pleosporaceae. The record is from RNAcentral.
UUGACCCCGGAUCAGGUAGGGAUACCCGCUGAACUUAAGCAUAUCAAUAAGCGGAGGA